RNAcentral lists this long non-coding RNA (420 nucleotides) under Malus domestica (apple). Its description in RNAcentral is "long non-coding RNA (MDOM_LNC016657)". The record is from RNAcentral. Lineage: Eukaryota; Viridiplantae; Streptophyta; Magnoliopsida; Rosales; Rosaceae.
UUAGAUUAAAUGUAGAAUUAUGGAGAAUAAUCCGAAUAAUGACUUUGAGGUACGACUUGAAUCGUUUCCUUAAAGUGUUAUUUGCCCCCACUCGAAUGAGUUUGCUAAAGGGUUCUUGGCAAAUCACUUCCAGGAUACAACAAAGUAUGAAAUAUUCGAUUAGCAAAACCGAAUUAUAUUCCCUUAGAAAUAACUAGAAAGAAAUUGUAUGAAUGUGAUGAAGAGAGAAAAGAGAGCAAAGAAAUUAUGUAGACAACAAAUUUCUGAAUGAUUCUUUUCUACUAAUGUCACCACUAUAUAUAGAGAGAAUUACACCCUUUAGACACAUCAUUUGAUUUGAGUAUGUCUUUUCACCAUGGGAUACAACACAUUGCAUCAUUAUGUCCAAUGGACAUAUCUAAUACAAACACCAAUUACCCA